RNAcentral lists this ribosomal RNA (207 nucleotides) under uncultured bacterium. RNAcentral's name for it is "partial 16S ribosomal RNA". It matches the Rfam family "Bacterial small subunit ribosomal RNA", at positions 568 to 774 of the family's 1533-position model. The record is from RNAcentral.
AGCGCAGGCGGGAGAACAAGUUGGAAGUGAAAUCCAUGGGCUCAACCCAUGAACUGCUUUCAAAACUGUUUUUCUUGAGUAGUGCAGAGGUAGGUGGAAUUCCCGGUGUAGCGGUGGAAUGCGUAGAUAUCGGGAGGAACACCAGUGGCGAAGGCGGCCUACUGGGCACCAACUGACGCUGAGGCUCGAAAGUGUGGGUAGCAAACA